RNAcentral lists this ribosomal RNA (418 nucleotides) under uncultured beta proteobacterium. RNAcentral's name for it is "bacterial SSU rRNA". It matches the Rfam family "Bacterial small subunit ribosomal RNA", at positions 9 to 431 of the family's 1533-position model. The record is from RNAcentral. Lineage: Bacteria; Pseudomonadati; Pseudomonadota; Betaproteobacteria.
GAGUUUGAUCUUGGCUCAGAUUGAACGCUGGCGGAAUGCUUUACACAUGCAAGUCGAGCGGCAGCGCGGGGCAACCUGGCGGCGAGCGGCGAACGGGUGAGUAAUGCAUCGGGACAUGUCCAUGUCGUGGGGGAUAGCCCGGCGAAAGCCGGAUUAAUACCGCAUACGCCCGAGAGGGGAAAGUGGGGGACCGCAAGGCCUCACGCGAUUGGGUUGGCCGAUGUCCGAUUAGCUAGUUGGCGGGGUAAAGGCCCACCAAGGCGAUGAUCGGUAGCUGGUCUGAGAGGAUGAUCAGCCACACUGGGACUGAGACACGGCCCAGACUCCUACGGGAGGCAGCAGUGGGGAAUUUUGGACAAUGGGGGAAACCCUGAUCCAGCCAUUCCGCGUGAGUGAAGAAGGCCUUCGGUUGUAAGAC